This 253-nucleotide ribosomal RNA is filed under the name uncultured bacterium. RNAcentral's name for it is "partial 16S ribosomal RNA". It matches the Rfam family "Bacterial small subunit ribosomal RNA", at positions 524 to 776 of the family's 1533-position model. The record is from RNAcentral.
GACGAACCGUGCGAACGUUGUUCGGAAUCACUGGGCUUAAAGGGCGCGUAGGCGGGCGGCCAAGUCAGGGGUGAAAGCCCCCAGCUCAACUGGGGAAGUGCCUUUGAUACUGGUCGUCUCGAGGGAGGUAGGGGCGUGCGGAACUUCCGGUGGAGCGGUGAAAUGCGUAGAUAUCAGGAGGAACACCAAUAGCGAAGGCAGCUCGCUGGGACGUUACUGACACUGAGGCGCGAAAGCGUGGGGAGCGAACAGG